AUUGAACGCUGGCGGCAGGCUUAACACAUGCAAGUCGAACGAGUGGCGGACGUGUGAGUAAUGCUUGGGAAUAUUGCUUAUGGAGGGGGAUAACUACGGGAAACUGUAGCUAAUACCGCGUACAAUAGGAUGAGCCCAAGUGGGAUUAGGUAGGUGUUGAGGUAAAGGCUCACCAAGCCGACGAUCUCUAGCUGGUCUGAGAGGAGGACCAGCCACACUGGGACUGAGACACGGCCCAGACUCCUACGGGAGGCAGCAGUGGGGAAUAUUGCGCAAUGGGGGCAACCUGACGCAGCCAUGCCGCGUGAAUGAAGAAGGCCUUCGGGUUGUAAAGUUCUUUCGGUAGCGAGGCGUUAACUACAGAAGAAGCACCGGCUAACUCCGUGCCAGCAGCCGCGGUAAUAC
RNAcentral lists this ribosomal RNA (405 nucleotides) under uncultured bacterium. RNAcentral's name for it is "partial 16S ribosomal RNA". It matches the Rfam family "Bacterial small subunit ribosomal RNA", at positions 30 to 526 of the family's 1533-position model. The record is from RNAcentral.